UUGCUGAACCCUUUCUCUUUUAUUGUUGCUCAUCUCUCAUGGCGAGUGGCCUCAAAGAAAGGGGAGAUAAUAAGUUUGUGUAGCUGGAGAUCAUCCUUACCCAUAGGAUAGGUCCAUUACCAACCUAACGACAUCCCUAAUGAUUGAAGUUUUUAUUGUCAAUAUUCCUACCAUUCCUUCCAUAGGUUUUGUGUAAAUCCCUAAAUACAUUCAACUGUCUCGUGUGUUUUGAUAUGAGAGAUUCACUAGUCAGCUGGUGAUAAUGAUCUCUACUCUGUGCAUGAAGUGUGAUUCAUACUGUGUGCCGGAUUGGUGUCUUGACAGUGUAAUGUCAGGUCUGACAUGAACAAUGUCAUGUACUAGAUAUAGGAAAUUGUAUUGAUUAUUUGUCACAAUGGUUACAGUUGUCAGGUUUGGUCUUCUCAAACAUCAAGUUUUACAGUUUGUAUUCACUUUUUUUCUCUAUCAGAACUUUGUUUUUCUGAUUGGUAGUAGUCAUCAGAUGGCAUUAUGGUUAAACUGUAUGUAUGGCAUGCCAGGCUUUGCCGAAGGUUUAUCUAUACUUUAUGGCCGAGUCCAUGAUUCAGGUGUUUAAAACCUUUCUUUUUAUCUGACUAUGUGUCACGUGUGAAAAGGGGCCUGAAAGAAAGGGUAGAUAAUAAGGUGGUGUAGCUGGAGAUCAUCCGCACCCCCAGGAUUGGUCCAUUACCAACCUAACCACAAACCUUGAUCAUUAUACAGUCGGUGGACAUCAGUUAAUAUUGUUUUAUUGGUAAAUGUAUAUAGGAACAAGUGAAGGUCCUAAAUAUAAACAAGCUCAGACCAACCAUGCUGUAAGUGUUCAAAUGAUUGUCAUCCACUGGCACAUAACCUUUUGCUCAGUUACUUUGAAUACAACUUCAAAGAUGAGGUUUCUUAGAUGGGAGGCUGGGAGUUGUAGGAUUGAUUAAACAAGUGUUUGGCUUUGAUUUCAGGAGAAACUGUUUUGAUAUCUGGCAGACAGUUCCAUUUAGAUGACUAUUUUGAAAGAUAUAUGUUGAUCUUGUGAGUGGAUCUUGACAUAUGAGACAAAAGUCUCAGUCUCAUGUAGACAGUGUGUUUUGAGCAUUUUGGGCCUUCCUGGAUCUCCACUGUUCUGAAGUAAAGUAUGAUGUGAAAUGCAGUUUUUGCUGAAACCCUUUCUCUUUUAUUGUUGCUCAUCUCUCAUGGCGAGUGGCCUCAAAGAAAGGGAAGAUAAUAAGUUUGUGUAGCUGGAGAUCAUCCUUACCCAUAGGAUAGGUCCAUUACCAACCGAACGACAUCCCCAAUGAUUGAAGAUUUUAUUGUCUGUAUUACUAAUAUUCCGUCCAUAGGUUUUGCAUAUAUCUGUGAAUACAUUCAACUGUCUUGAGUGUUGUAUGGAUGUAUCUUCAUGUAUGUCUUUUCACUUCUCUGUGGCAGGAACAUUGAUAAAGUUGUUUUCUGUCAAUUCUGCUGGUGCACUGUUAUUUAAGGUGAUUUAACAUGUUCAUGUUAGUUGCUGGAUAAGAUGUGAGGAUCUUGCAUUUGCUUUUUCAAUUGAGAAUAAUUCAUUAAAUGAAGUGCAGGAAUGUAUAAUGCGUCAUUUGUUUCAGUGAUGUUUCAUUUUGUCACAUCAGACAAAAUGGAUGUAAGCAGUUUUUUUGCGUUUUGGCCCCCAGUAUCUGCUCUGUAUGACCAUGGUGUAGGAAUGUGUAAUGUGAAAUGCAUAAUUGUUGAAGCCCUUUCUCUUUUAUUGUGUUUCUCGUCUCUCAUGGCGAGUGGCCUCAAAGAAAGGGAAGGUAAUAAGUUUGUGUAGCUGGAGAUCAUCCUUACCCAUAGGAUAGGUCCAUUACCAACCUAACGACAUCCCAAAUGAUUGAAGUUUUCAUUGUCAGUAUUCCCUCAAUAGGUUUUCUAUAAUCUGAAUACAUUCUGAUUCAACUGAUUUUUGUGCUGUUAUAUGUGUGAAUCUCCUGAAGUUUCAUGAAAAAAAUCCUAAGCAUGUGUAUCAAAGAGAUACUUGUUUUUUUCCCCCUGGGAUUUUCCUCUCCCUUCUCCUUGUAUAUCAUUUCACUUCUCUAUGAAAAAAACACAAUUCUAACAUUCCCAAUGGCAGGGGAACAUUGAUAAAGUUGUUUUCUGUCAAUUAUGCUAGUGCACUGUUAUGCU
Long non-coding RNA from Haliotis rubra (blacklip abalone), 2169 nucleotides. RefSeq lists it as uncharacterized. The record is from RefSeq and is a predicted model, not a curated record. The transcript has 2 exons. Lineage: Eukaryota; Metazoa; Mollusca; Gastropoda; Lepetellida; Haliotidae.